Molecule: ribosomal RNA, 327 nt
Filed under: Pseudorobillarda sojae
Lineage: Eukaryota; Fungi; Ascomycota; Dothideomycetes; Pleosporales
Description: eukaryotic LSU rRNA
Rfam family: Eukaryotic large subunit ribosomal RNA
Source: RNAcentral
GACCUCGGAUCAGGUGGGGAUACCCGCUGAACUUAAGCAUAUCAAUAAGCGGAGGAAAAGAAACCAACAGGGAUUGCCCUAGUAACGGCGAGUGAAGCGGCAAUAGCUCAGAUUUGAAAUCUGGUCCUUUCAGGGCCCGAGUUGUAAUCUGUAGAGGAUGCUUCGGCGUCAGCCUCGGCCUAAGUUCCUUGGAACAGGACGUCACAGAGGGUGAGAAUCCCGUAUGUGGUCGGCUGCUUUCGCCUUGUGAAGCUCCUUCAACGAGUCGAGUUGNUUGGGAAUGCAGCUCUNAACCNGGAGGNAAANUUCNUCUAAGCUAAAUAUUGG